This 458-nucleotide ribosomal RNA is filed under the name uncultured bacterium. RNAcentral describes it as "partial 16S ribosomal RNA". It matches the Rfam family "Bacterial small subunit ribosomal RNA", at positions 338 to 795 of the family's 1533-position model. The record is from RNAcentral.
CCUACGGGAGGCAGCAGUGGGGAAUAUUGCACAAUGGGGGAAACCCUGAUGCAGCGACGCCGCGUGAGUGAAGAAGUAAUUCGUUACGUAAAGCUCUAUCAGCAGGGAAGAAACACUGACCUUACGGUCAGCAGACGGUACCUGAGUAAGAAGCCCCGGCUAACUACGUGCCAGCAGCCGCGGUAAUCCGUAGGGGGCAAGCGUUAUCCGGAUUUACUGGGUGAAAAGGGAGCGUAGACGGUGCGCCAAGUCUGGAGUGAAAUGCCGCAGCUUAACUGCGGAACUGCUUUGGAAACUGGCGAACUAGAGUGCGGGAGGGGUAAGCGGAAGUCCUAGUGUAGCGGUGAAAUGCGUAGAUAUUAGGAGGAACACCGGUGGCGAAGGCGGCUUACUGGACCGUAACUGACGUUGAGGCUCGAAAGCGUGGGGAGCAAACAGGAUUAGAUACCCGAGUAGUC